RNAcentral lists this ribosomal RNA (464 nucleotides) under uncultured bacterium. RNAcentral describes it as "partial 16S ribosomal RNA". It matches the Rfam family "Bacterial small subunit ribosomal RNA", at positions 339 to 795 of the family's 1533-position model. The record is from RNAcentral.
CUACGGGGUGCACCAGUGGGGAAUAUUGCACAAUGGGCGCAAGCCUGAUGCAGCCAUGCCGCGUGUAUGAAGAAGGCCUUCGGGUCGUAAAGUACUUUCAGCGGGGAGGAAGGGAGUAAAGUUAAUACCUUUGCUCAUUGACGUUACCCGCAGAAGAAGCACCGGCUAACUCCGUGCCAGCAGCCGCGGUAAUACGGAGGGUGCAAGCGUUGAUCGGAAUUACUGGGCGUAAAGCGCACGCAGGCGGUUUGUUAAGUCAGAUGUGAAAGCCCCGGGCUCAACCUGGGAACUGCAUCUGAUACUGGCAAGCUUGAGUGUCGUAGAGGGGGGUAGAAUUCCAGGUGUAGCGGUGAAAUGCGUAGAGAUCUGGAGGAAUACCGGUGGCGAAGGCGGCCCCCUGGACGAAGACUGACGCUCAGGUGCGAAAGCGUGGGGAGCAAACAGGAUUAGAUACCCCCGUAGUC